GAUCUGAGACACGAUUCCAGGCCCUACGGGGCGCAGCAGGCGCGAAAACUUUACAAUGCAGGAAACUGUGAUAAGGGAACCCCGAGUGCCCGUACACGCGGGCUGUCCCGGUGUUUAAAACACAUCGGAAGAAAGGGCCGGGCAAGACCGGUGCCAGCCGCCGCGGUAAUACCGGCGGCUCGAGUGGUGACCACUUUUAUUGGGCUUAAAGCGUUCGUAGCUUGAUUUUUAAGUCUCUUGGGAAAUCUCACGGCUUAACUGUGAGGCGUCUAAGAGAUACUGGGAAUCUAGGGACCGGGAGAGGUAAGAGGUACUUCAGGGGUAGAAGUGAAAUUCUGUAAUCCUUGAGGGACCACCGAUGGCGAAGGCAUCUUACCAGAACGGCUUCGACAGUGAGGAACGAAAGCUGGGGGAGCGAACGGGAUUAGAUACCCCGGUAGUCCCAGCCGUAAACUAUGCGCGUUAGGUGUGCCUGUAACUACGAGUUACCGGGGUGCCGAAGUGAAAACGUGAAACGUGCCGCCUGGGAAGUACGGUCGCAAGGCUGAAACUUAAAGGAAUUGGCGGGGGAGCA
RNAcentral lists this ribosomal RNA (574 nucleotides) under uncultured methanogenic archaeon. RNAcentral describes it as "bacterial SSU rRNA". It matches the Rfam family "Archaeal small subunit ribosomal RNA", at positions 300 to 878 of the family's 1478-position model. The record is from RNAcentral. Lineage: Archaea; Methanobacteriati; Methanobacteriota.